UUCAAAUGAUGAUUUUAUUCAGUUCUGCUUCUGAAAUUUUAUUGAAGCAAGCUUUACCCACAUUCCUGAGUU
This is a small nucleolar RNA of Cydia splendana, 72 nucleotides long. The record is from RefSeq and is a predicted model, not a curated record. Lineage: Eukaryota; Metazoa; Arthropoda; Insecta; Lepidoptera; Tortricidae.